Molecule: long non-coding RNA, 1029 nt
Organism: Bos taurus (domestic cattle)
Lineage: Eukaryota; Metazoa; Chordata; Mammalia; Artiodactyla; Bovidae
Source: Ensembl
AGGGGGCGGAGCCACCCUGCAGUAGAGAGGUGCGGCGGAAAGAGGAAGUCCAACAGCCUUCUCUGGAGCUUGGAGUGCGGCUCACAGCCGCGAGCGUAACCUCUGACGGUCGUAGAGUGCCUGCAUCGGUUGUCAGGAAGGGUCUGUCUGAAGGAUCAACACUGAAGCUGAGACCCCAUCCCAAAUUCCUUCCACAUGAUAAUAAUCUAUUUGCAAGCUUGGCCCCCACAGGAGGUUGAAACAGAAUAGGGUCCUGGAAAAAAAAUCGCAGUGUUUGGAAUAAGCGAAGCCCAGGUUCUACUCCCAGCCCUGUUCCUUCUCAACUUCCUGCCGAAUGGAAACCACCACCACCAGAGAGCAGUAGCGAGAACCGUGUGAGACCAGGCAUGUGAGACCUGCUUGCCCAGAGUUCUCGCCCCAGAGACUUCGAGAGAAAGAAGUCUCAUCCUGAGCCCCUGCCCCCUGGCCUGCUUCCACUGCCUGUGGCCUGGAGGACCAUCCCCCUCCUCAUAUCUCAUCUUGACAGUCUGUGCCUGUCACCAGCCUCAUCUCCUCCUCACCCUCCACCGUACCCUGCUGUCUGAAAGGUCCUUCCCCCUCACCACCCCAGUUAAGGGCAGUGGGUCUAGGGAAAUCCCUGGCAGUCCAGUGAUUAAACUAGGUACUCUUACUGUGGUGGCCCAGUUUCAAUCCUUGGUCAGGGAACUAAGAUCCUGCAAGCUGUGCGGAGCAGCAAAAAAAAAAAAAAAAAAACAAAAAACAGUGAAUCUGUUGUCUCCUCUUUGCCCUCUCACUCUUAACUUCCAAGAGUCCCCAAAACUUUAACAACUUUCACUCCUUCUCCCUCAUGCUGUCCUUGAGAAUAUCAUCCAUUCACAGGGCUUCAAGAUGUACACCCUUAUGGGUAACUCCCAGAUCUUCAUCACCAACCCCAGUCUGACUGCUUACGUGGUUGCCUGCUCAAUUCACAACCAUCUCUAGAAACAGUCCCAGUACACCAGAACACCCUAUAGCAACCCGGUCUCAACC